CAGAACGUAGCGAAGUCUGGUAUCGCGCCAGUUCGGGGGACUGGAGAUCGCCGGUUCGAUUCCGGCCGUUCUGA
RNAcentral lists this transfer RNA (74 nucleotides) under Pirellulaceae bacterium. Its description in RNAcentral is "tRNA-Pro". It matches the Rfam family "tRNA". Rfam says of the family: Transfer RNA (tRNA) molecules are approximately 80 nucleotides in length. Lineage: Bacteria; Pseudomonadati; Planctomycetota; Planctomycetia; Pirellulales; Pirellulaceae. The record is from RNAcentral.